This is a long non-coding RNA of Musa acuminata subsp. malaccensis (wild Malaysian banana), 2466 nucleotides long. RefSeq lists it as uncharacterized. NCBI's taxonomy places the organism in Eukaryota, Viridiplantae, Streptophyta, Magnoliopsida, Zingiberales, Musaceae. The record is from RefSeq and is a predicted model, not a curated record.
AGGCCCAACAAAGGACGUCGCCUUGCCCCCUUUUGAGCCCCGCUUGGAGGCCCAAUCCCUCUUUUUCGGCUUAUGGUGGACCUCGACGCGGCCUUUUGUCGUGAUCGUCUCAUCUUCCCCGUUCGCGGGUGCUCAAUUGCUUUUAAUCGGAGGUUCUCUGUGUGUUAGGAGCACUUCUUUUCGAUCAUGGUGAAGAGCAUGGAUGGCAGCUUCCUGUUCACACCCCUUCAGGUUAUGUUCAGUCGUUGCGCAAAGACAAAACUGUCCAGAAACAAAUCAUCCAAGCAACCAUUUUGGGGGGUUUUCUAGCUCCGUAGAGUGGUGCGGAGUGUCAGCCAACACAGUAUGCAGGAGCUAGCGGGGUGGCACAUGGUUGGAUGGGCCUUUAGGUCCUGAAGGAACCAUAAAAUGUUUCAGGGAGGCUAACCCUUUGUGGAUAGACACGCAAUGGUGCCACACGAUUUAGGCACAACCAGCUAAGUUUGUGACGGAUGGUAUUAGAGUGGGAGAAAGAAGCACACUUAAAAACACUUGGUAUACAAACGUAAGAGACCUAACAAAGCUACAUUGGGGGUAGCUAGCAUGAAGAACGCAUAGCACACAAAGGUUAGGAUAGUUGAGUUUAAGCUAUGAAUCGAUGUUAGCAACUAAACUUGAUGGUGCUUAAGGCAAGUAGGACAUUUGGCAAAGGAUAAGAUAGUGCAAGGAGGGAUGGGUUACUUGGCAACCGAAAGAGUUGUACAAAGCUCAUAGAGGUAAAGAGGAAUUGUUAACUCAAAGAAUUCGGUACUCAUGCGAGAGCUUGUAUGCGAACAACGGACUGUCCGUGACCAUCACAAGGCGAUCAAAAUUUGGUGCCAUGAAGCAUGAAAACUCUCUUCAGCAUGGGAAGGAUACAUUCAUAUGAGGCUGAAGUAUAUGGUAGGUUUAACUUGUUGCUAGGCUUUGAGGGGCACAAUAGGGGCUGUAUUGACGAAGAGUCGUAAUCUAGCAAGUACGUUUACGGUGGCGAAAUAGCACACAGUUUGUUCAGUAAGGCAGAGUAGUCUAAGGGGAUGAUGGUCUUCAAAACUUUAGAGAGAAUGAUGCAAAGAGAAAAGUUACUCCAACGGGAUAGAUAUCUAGGUGGGAUAAGUCUUGUUCUUCCGAAAGAGAAUCAUGUGCAGCGAACCGCACAUGUUGUGGGGGUACCUUAAGACGACAACUCUAUAAAGCUUAAUGGAUUGAGCAAGCAGUGAUGAGUCAUUGCAUGAUCUCGCAUGAGGUAAUGCAUUGGUGGACGUAUUACGAGAUUAAGUAGGGGAGCAGCCUUAGAGAACACCAAACGAAGGCACAUUUAAAGCCGAUAUAAAGAUUGGACUCAAUGGAGGGUUGACCUGUCAUAUAGUGGGCGCGAGGGCCACCAUUAACUCAAUGCAUACUAAGGAGCAAAGCAAUUUGGGUGGAACUUAGUGAAGUGCCCAAGCCACAUGAAGGGAGUCGACAUAGAAGAUGAAACAUAGAAUGGAGGCGCAGAGCUUUUCUUGGAUAGAAGCCAAGGACAUGAACUCUUGUAGAGGCAAGAGCGAGAUUAUGUCAUUCCAUGGGUCCCUCAUUCUGAUGGAGCAGACUCAUCUUGCAUGGUGCCAAUGUCAGAGGGAGCUUCGAGGCACACACACUUUAUCUUGAUGAAACAAUUGAUGGAGGAACUAAGACAACUCAACUUGCGGAGGCGAAGUUGAGGUUAGAAGGGCUUGUCAUGAUGUAAGAGGAUGCAGAGAUAGGUACUCAUGAAGAAUAUGUCAUAGUGUUGCCAUUUGAGUUGCCGCAAAGGAAAUUGUGCAUAGUGAAGAUUGUGCUAGGGGCAGGGGUCGAGGAUCCAGAUAAUGACAUACCAAUUUCAGCAAAGUCGAUGGACUUCGAGAGCUACUAGGCAACAAACUAUCCUAGAGUUGUACUUCGUCCAUGUGUAACUCGAGAGCGGGUAGAUAAAGGUCGAUUGCCAAAGGAGUGAAUACAAUCGGAGGUGGCGAAAGCCCUGCGAUUGCUGGCAAAGGCCAUAUCUAGAGAGAUCGCAGUUCGAAUUUAUCCCACAAAGAUCAAAAUGCAAUAGAGAUAUUACCAGGAGGCGACAUAGUGCAACGGAUUGUGGUAAAACAAUUCAAGACAGUGUGACACGCACAUGGGAGAAGUCCCGUGAGGGACUUGAUCAUACAGAGGUAUAUCGGAGCGGCUAGAGAGUUAGACUGUUCUAGAGCUUAUAUUCGCUUGAGGGAGACCAACAAGUUAGAAGACAAGCUCGAGUGAGUGAACGUUGCUACCAAGGACACAAGGAAGAUUAUAAUCAGCGCAAGCCCUGCAACAUAAUGAUAGAGGCUAUGUAUGAGAGUUAUAGUCUUUCUUUCUAUCAACCAAGGGAAACUACUUGGAGAACACAAAGGUGUUAAAGUAGGGGGUCGAAAGGGGCAAGAAAGCAAUGAUGAGUCU